RNAcentral lists this ribosomal RNA (463 nucleotides) under uncultured bacterium. RNAcentral's name for it is "partial 16S ribosomal RNA". It matches the Rfam family "Bacterial small subunit ribosomal RNA", at positions 28 to 507 of the family's 1533-position model. The record is from RNAcentral.
GACGAACGCUGGCGGCGUGCUUAACACAUGCAAGUCGAACGGAAAGGCCUUUUCGGCGGUACUCGAGUGGCGAACGGGUGAGUAACACGUGGGUGAUCUGCCCUGCACUCUGGGAUAAGCCUGGGAAACUGGGUCUAAUACCGGAUAGGACCGCACUUUAGUGUGUGUGGUGGAAAGUUGUUUCGGUGUAGGAUGAGCCCGCGGCCUAUCAGCUUGUUGGUGGGGUAAUGGCCUACCAAGGCGGCGACGGGUAGCCGGACUGAGAGGUUGGUCGGCCACAUUGGGACUGAGAUACGGCCCAGACUCCUACGGGAGGCAGCAGUGGGGAAUAUUGCACAAUGGGCGCAAGCCGGAUGCAGCGACGCCGCGGGGGGGAUGACGGCCUUCGGGUUGUAAACUCCUUUCGCCAGGGACGAAGCGUUUUGUGACGGUACCUGGAGAAGAAGCACCGGCUAACUACGUG